This 476-nucleotide ribosomal RNA is filed under the name Babesia occultans. RNAcentral describes it as "SSU rRNA". It matches the Rfam family "Eukaryotic small subunit ribosomal RNA", at positions 500 to 1039 of the family's 1831-position model. The record is from RNAcentral. Lineage: Eukaryota; Apicomplexa; Aconoidasida; Piroplasmida; Babesiidae.
GUCUUGUAAUUGGAAUGAUGGUGACUUAAACCCUCACCAGAGUACCAAUUGAAGGGCAGUCUAGGUGCCAACAGCCGCGGUAAUUCCAGCUCCAAUAGCGUAUAUUAAACUUGUUGCAGUUAAAAAGCUCGUAGUUGAAUUUCAGCGUUUCGCGUGAGCCUUUUUUGGCCCGUCUCGUUUCGCUUUUUUUAUUACUUUGAGAAAAUUAGAGUGUUUCAAGCAGGCUUUUGUCUUGAAUACUUGAGCAUGGAAUAAUAGAGUAGGACCUUGGUUCUAUUUUGUUGGUUUUGUUACCUUGGUAAUGGUUAAUAGGAACGGUUGGGGGCAUUCGUAUUUAACUGUCAGAGGUGAAAUUCUUAGAUUUGUUAAAGACGAACUACUGCGAAAGCAUUUGCCAAGGACGUUUCCAUUAAUCAAGAACGAAAGUUAGGGGAUCGAAGACGAUCAGAUACCGUCGUAGUCCUAACCAUAAACUA